This 482-nucleotide ribosomal RNA is filed under the name uncultured bacterium. RNAcentral's name for it is "bacterial SSU rRNA". It matches the Rfam family "Bacterial small subunit ribosomal RNA", at positions 61 to 524 of the family's 1533-position model. The record is from RNAcentral.
GUCGAGCGAACCAAUAAGAAGCUUGCUUUUUGUUGGUUAGCGGCGGACGGGUGAGUAACACGUGGGUAACCUGCCUGUAAGACCGGGAUAACUCCGGGAAACCGGUGCUAAUACCGGAUAGAUUAUCUUUCCGCUUGGAGAGAUAAGGAAAGAUGGCUUUUGCCAUCACUUACAGAUGGGCCCGCGGCGCAUUAGCUAGUUGGUGAGGUAACGGCUCACCAAGGCGACGAUGCGUAGCCGACCUGAGAGGGUGAUCGGCCACACUGGGACUGAGACACAGUCCAGACUCCUACGGGAGGCAGCAGUGGGGAAUUUUGGACAAUGGGCGAAAGCCUGAUCCAGCAAUGCCGCGUGAGUGAAGAAGGCCUUCGGGUUGUAAAGCUCUUUUGUCAGGGAAGAAACGGUGAGAGCUAAUAUCUCUUGCUAAUGACGGUACCUGAAGAAUAAGCACCGGCUAACUACGUGCCAGCAGCCGCGGUAAU